GAUGAACGCUAGCGGCAGGCCUAACACAUGCAAGUCGAGGGGUAGCAGGAUUAAGCUUGCUUAAUUGCUGACGACCGGCGCACGGGUGCGUAACGCGUAUGCAACCUACCUUAUACUGGGGUAUAGCCCGGAGAAAUUCGGAUUAAUCCCCCAUAGUACUAAUGAAUCGCAUGGUUUAUUAGUUAAAGCAUUGCGGUAUAAGAUGGGCAUGCGUCCUAUUAGCUAGAUGGUGAGGUAACGGCUCACCAUGGCUACGAUAGGUAGGGGGCCUGAGAGGGUGGUACCCCACACUGGUACUGAGACACGGACCAGACUCCUACGGGAGGAAGCAGUGAGGAAUAUUGGUCAAUGGGCGCAAGCCUGAACCAGCCAUGCCGCGUGCAGGAAGAAUGCCCUAUGGGUUGUAAACUGCUUUUAUUUGGGAAUAAACCUCUUUACGUGUAGAGAGCUGAAGGUACCAAAUGAAUAAGCACCGGCUAACUCCGUGCCAGCCGCCGCGGUAA
RNAcentral lists this ribosomal RNA (503 nucleotides) under uncultured bacterium. Its description in RNAcentral is "partial 16S ribosomal RNA". It matches the Rfam family "Bacterial small subunit ribosomal RNA", at positions 28 to 523 of the family's 1533-position model. The record is from RNAcentral.